GGUUAAGCGACUAAGCGUACACGGUGGAUGCCCUGGCAGUCAGAGGCGAUGAAGGACGUGCUAAUCUGCGAUAAGCGUCGGUAAGGUGAUAUGAACCGUUAUAACCGGCGAUUUCCGAAUGGGGAAACCCAGUGUGUUUCGACACACUAUCAUUAACUGAAUCCAUAGGUUAAUGAGGCGAACCGGGGGAACUGAAACAUCUAAGUACCCCGAGGAAAAGAAAUCAACCGAGAUUCCCCCAGUAGCGGCGAGCGAACGGGGAGGAGCCCAGAGCCUGAAUCAGUGUGUGUGUUAGUGGAAGCGUCUGGAAAGGCGCGCGAUACAGGGUGACAGCCCCGUACACAAAAAUGCACAUGCUGUGAGCUCGAUGAGUAGGGCGGGACACGUGGUAUCCUGUCUGAAUAUGGGGGGACCAUCCUCCAAGGCUAAAUACUCCUGACUGACCGAUAGUGAACCAGUACCGUGAGGGAAAGGCGAAAAGAACCCCGGCGAGGGGAGUGAAAAAGAACCUGAAACCGUGUACGUACAAGCAGUGGGAGCAUGCUUAGGCGUGUGACUGCGUACCUUUUGUAUAAUGGGUCAGCGACUUAUAUUCUGUAGCAAGGUUAACCGAAUAGGGGAGCCGAAGGGAAACCGAGUCUUAACUGGGCGUUAAGUUGCAGGGUAUAGACCCGAAACCCGGUGAUCUAGCCAUGGGCAGGUUGAAGGUUGGGUAACACUAACUGGAGGACCGAACCGACUAAUGUUGAAAAAUUAGCGGAUGACUUGUGGCUGGGGGUGAAAGGCCAAUCAAACCGGGAGAUAGCUGGUUCUCCCCGAAAGCUAUUUAGGUAGCGCCUCGUGA
Molecule: ribosomal RNA, 844 nt
Filed under: Escherichia coli
Lineage: Bacteria; Pseudomonadati; Pseudomonadota; Gammaproteobacteria; Enterobacterales; Enterobacteriaceae
Description: partial 23S ribosomal RNA
Rfam family: Bacterial large subunit ribosomal RNA
Source: RNAcentral